AUUGAACGCUGGCGGCAUGCUUUACACAUGCAAGUCGAACGGCAGCGCGGGGCAACCUGGCGGCGAGUGGCGAACGGGUGAGUAAUACAUCGGAACGUACCCAGAAGUGGGGGAUAACGUAGCGAAAGUUACGCUAAUACCGCAUACGUUCUACGGAAGAAAGUGGGGGACCUUCGGGCCUCAUGCUUUUGGAGCGGCCGAUGUCUGAUUAGCUAGUUGGUGAGGUAAAGGCUCACCAAGGCGACGAUCAGUAGCUGGUCUGAGAGGACGACCAGCCACACUGGGACUGAGACACGGCCCAGACUCCUACGGGAGGCAGCAGUGGGGAAUUUUGGACAAUGGGCGCAAGCCUGAUCCAGCAAUGCCGCGUGAGUGAAGAAGGCCUUCGGGUUGUAAAGCUCUUUUGUUAGGGAAGAAACGGCUGAGGAUAAUACCUUCGGCUAAUGACGGUACCUGAAGAAUAAGCACCGGCUAACUACGUGCCAGCCGCCGCCGUAA
Molecule: ribosomal RNA, 498 nt
Filed under: uncultured bacterium
Lineage: Bacteria
Description: partial 16S ribosomal RNA
Rfam family: Bacterial small subunit ribosomal RNA
Source: RNAcentral